Molecule: long non-coding RNA, 8899 nt
Organism: Bombus huntii
Lineage: Eukaryota; Metazoa; Arthropoda; Insecta; Hymenoptera; Apidae
Exons: 4
Source: RefSeq, a predicted model, not a curated record
UCAUACAAAUUUCAAUUCUCAAUCCAUUACAGAUAACGUAAAUGCGAUAAUGGAAAUUAUUGUUACGCGUUACUUCUCCAACCACGAGAGUAUUAAUAACGCGAGGAUUAGACCGCCACGGCACGAUUUAUCUUAAACCGAACGCCACGCUCGUUUCAGAUAACUACCGCCACUUUUACGAUCAUUCUUUAAUGGCGCGUGUGCCAACGGGUUAUCCAGCUACCCGUCUGCCGCCACAGAUAAUACAGAUUAGGAAACACGCGCUCAGCUUUUCCAUCAUUUUCAAUGUCAAAAAUUAAAUAAUAUUUCGAAUCUUCACGUUCACGAACAAGUUACGUAUGGUUCUUUUACGAGCAGAUCGACACAAAAGUAUUACGAAAAUGCACUAACGUGUUUGCAUAUUGCAAGAUUCGCCAAUUUCUCUAAAGUCAGGUACAAAUCGACGUUCUACCGACUCCAAUUGAUACAAAUAUCUUUACUCGACCCUAUAUAGAUGAUCGCAAAUUGUUUCCUCGAAUACCGAAAAUAAUCGACGGAAAGUACGACACAACCAGCAUCGAGUCAGUAAGAAAACACCAGCUGCGGAGAAACAUUCGUUUUCAACUUGGUGAGCAAAAGGUGUUUUUCGUUAAAAAGAGAACCACGGUUGCAGACGUUCCAGCUGACAAGUUGGCGAGAAAGCUUCGCCAACGGGCCAACACGAGACAAAGUAGAAAGACACGGAAAGCGCGCGAACAUGCGUACGCCGCAAAUGGGUCGAAGCCGGUGUGACAAAGGAACGGAGCGAACAAGAGGAAAGAGAAAAGGUAAGUACAGUGACCUCUGGCGAUGGCUCGUGUUCGAACGAUGGCUUACCAACUGCUCGGCCAAGGCCAUUAAUACCGAUGUAUCUCGUGCACGGCGCAGAAAUGGAAACGACGAAAAAGCUUUAUUUACCGUAGAUCCUCCUAUAUAAUAUACAAAUACAAUAUAUAUAAUCGGUAGAAGAAAUACGACAAAGUCGUAAAUUAACGCAAGCCUCGGUCGUACCAAUGAAUUGCUGAUACUCGGAAUCGCAUAUGAGUCACUCGAGAACCAAACGAAUCGGCUACAUUUUCUCGAAAUUUCUUCGUCUUGGUGUAAGAGCAAGCACGAAGAGCAAGGGCAAUUUUCUAAUUAAUCUGAAAAUCCGUUUAAUUUAGUUUAAUUGACGAUCGUGACGAUUUUACACGACUUUCCUGCUAGUUCUGCUUGCCGGCCACGAUCGCAAAUACGAUUUCGUACGAUAUGACAAAACAUUACUAUAGCCCUUCGUAAUACAAAAUGAAAAAGUACCAUAACCUCCGUAUAGAUAGAUGCGAUAGGUCAAUUCUGGAAGGAAAUAAUAGAUUUUUAAGGUUAAACGUAUCUUCUAACACGUCGGUGUUAAAUAUUUACGUACGUGAAAAGAUUUAUUCUAUAUUUCUGGCAAUUUUUCCACCUCUAUAGAGUUCUAUGCGCGAGAGAGAUACUUUCCAAGCAUGGGGGAGGGGGCUACUGUAUUUAUCUCACCCACCCCACCCACGAACGCGAUCGCUCGACGAGGCAAGCAUUCGCGAAAGAUUUCCAACGAGUUCUGUUCGCAGACAAAAGCAACACGACGCCAACAACUUUCUAUAUAUCGACGUGUCUAAAUGGAAAGUUUCGAGCUUCGUUAAAAACGAAUUAGAAGACUCUGAAUUAGUAGAAUUUUGAAACGUAACUAGGAACGUUGGAUGAUUUUAAACAUGCCACCCUAGUGUUUCAUAUGCAACAUAUUUUUUUAAUUGUACAGGCAAGUUAUUUAUAUUUUGUAUUUCGUUUGAAAAGCAAAUUUCACUUGGUGUCAAGAUGACGCAGUACCAGAAAUUCUAUAACGCGUCAACUUGAACCAACUUGCUUCGGGAGUCGCGACAAUGGCAAGUCGAACACACUUUUAUCCGUACACGAUAGAUACAGAAUUUUCCCCCUUUGUUCGCAAUUGUAAACUGUAUACGAUGAAAGUUGAUCGAUUCAAACGUGGAUAUGCAAUUUAUGUUUGUAAUUUAGUUCUCAAAUGGUUUAUUUUCAACUUGCUAACAAUAUCGUCCAAUACUCAAACACAUUUUAAAACGUUUAGAACAUUUCGACGAUACGUCGUACGAUUUAUUAGUUGCGUUACUCGGCUGCUUCCAAUCUCACGACAAUAACGUUUAUUCCGCUAAUCCAAACGUUUCAGUAUAGACACGAUAUGCAUCCUAAAUACACUUUUAAUUGUCAUAAAAGGAAAAAACUAAAGGAAAAAUCGUAGAAACGAAAAGGAAAUAUCAACAACGACUGCGACGCGUUUAAAAAGUUACGCGUUGGACGUUUUCGCGUUGGUAAGAGAACGAUCGACGAGUUCGAAUUGAAGCGAUAUGCUUCCCUUUAGCUGUCCUUUAUCCGUCUCACUUCUUCCUCGACUAACGGUGAGCCCAUCUUACGACGGCGGAGCGUAUACCUCAGGCUAUCUCUAUUUAAUCUUGUCGAAGCAACGUUGCCGCACUAUAGCCGCCACGAGGCGUACUCUCGGAAGUGGUCUGCCCUCGGAUGACAGAAUGGCAACGCCGCGGCAUACCACCAUCUCCCUUCCACUCGAGCGAUUCUCGCUUUCCAAUUCUUUCCAUCUCUUUCUCUCCGCGUUACUUGCUACUCCGAUCGUACGGCAACACCACACGCGACAUUCGCCAAGGAGGUAGUAGGUGUCGUUACCUACGAUCGAGGGACGAGCAAAAAGAGGAAUGCCUCCACUGUAGCGAAUCGUGCGACCAUCGAAGUAAUACCGUUCGCGAGCCAGCGAUCCGAUCUUACCAGCUCGAUCCUUCGAAACGAGGUUAUAUAGACUCUUACGAUAAACUUGACGUUUCUUUAGCCUUUUGGGUAUAAGUUCAAUGUUGGUAUUAUAAACGAUGCCAUGCACGUUUGAAACCAGUCCAAUGUAAUACUUUAAUGCGCUAUAAGAGAAGCAUAUGUACGUAAUUCGACGUCGAACCAUUCAAUUGGUCGAUUUAACGGUAUCGUGUAUGUACGUUCACGUAUCCGUGAAAGAAACAGGAAUCUAACGGCGGAACAGUAAACGCUUCCCGCGCACUGCGUUUCAAACAGUCAAACAAUUCAUAUUUCAAUGAAAACGAUAUUAACGAUUUAACGAACAUUUUCCUUCGUUCGAGAAUUCUGAUUAUGGAUUUUUUCCAAAAGAACAUAGAACAAGCUAAAUAAUUUGAAGAGACAGGAGAGAGAGAGAGAGAGAGAGAGAGAGAGAGAGAGAGAGCAGAUACCUAUUUUUUCCGUAGCAGAAAAAAAAACGAAUCUCCAAGUGAAAAGUACUUGGCCAAUUUGGAUACAGAGAUGCACGUCAGUGAAGCGCGUGCGUGGGACAGUCGCGCAGGCAAGAAAACAAGCGAAACAGCAGCAGCAGCAGCAACAGCAGCAGCAGCAGCAGCAGCAGCAGCAGCAGCAGCAGCAGUAAGCAAGCAAGCAACCAAGCAAGCAACCAACCGACCAGCCAGGCAUCUCAGUUCUCUUCGGUGUCCCCGGCUGCACAUGUGUGCAGGGCAUGAGAGAAUUCUUCAUUUGACGUUUCAAAGAUUCCAACGAAAUAUUGAAUUCAGCAAAAUUGGAAUUAUCCAUUCGUGUGACCGAAAAUAGCUAAAAAUAAUGAAGCACGUUCAUUUUCUAGCUGGUCUAUGAUUUCGAAAUUGGAACCCCAGAUAAAAUAUUUAGAUUAGCAGCAAACUGUGCGAGACUGACGAACCCAGCACGCUUGGUAUGCAACAGCGAACCGACAUGAACUAUAUAUCGAGUUCACACAGGACUUUGAUCGACAUUUAACGUUUCCAUCUGGUCACCGGGUAUAAAUAGCAUUAUACGUUUCAAUGUGGCUGAAAUAUUUUUGUAACUGAAAUAAUAACGGAGCACUCGUCAAAAAAGCCGAACGAUUUUACAAUUUAUAUUCCUUGGAUCGAAAUUUAUUAACAACAAAGUAUCCCAUAAAAUUUCACUUAUUAUUUCAUAAAUUUCACAAGAAAAAGGAAUGGUUCUUCCCCUCGCUUUAUUUUUCUUUUCUACGUUGCUAUAUUUCGAUUAACAGAAAGAAGAUUAACGAUCAACUGCGAGCAUGCUGGUUCUUCUUGAUCUCAAUAAUCGACGAUUUCAAUUUUAAAGUAGGCGCGGUCACAUAAUGCACUCGAUAAGGCUAUCACAUUUUCCGCAAUUUCAUUACUGUCAUUGGUUUCACGCUGCUGUUCUAUUACACCGUUCUAGAUACGACUAAAAACAAUUACAAUUAGAGAACGGAAAUAAAGAUAAGAAGCUAAAGUUUUUUUAUCGUAAGAAUAUAUUUAUCGAAGGCACGCAAACUCUGAAUAACGUAGCUCUUCUACCCUUGUAAAAAUUACAUUUUAAAACAGCAGCUCCUCUCAUUACCACUUCAUUCCUUUUCAUUGGUUACUGCUAAACGUAUAUUAUUAAUUAUAAUGUCGUGUUUGUGAUAUUUCAGUUAAAUAAAGUAUGUGAAAUGAAGAGUAAAGAAAGAAUCCUAGUGCAAUAAACUUAUAUUCAUACCGCAUAUUCAAAACUUGUAUUCAUAAAAUUCAGUGCGAACACUGUACCCAUAAAAUCGAUAAUAAUUACUAAACAUAAAACGUUACAUUAUCGGCAGUAAUUUCACUUAAUAGGAUAAAUCAUUAAAGUCGUUGCAAUCGUGCAAAUAUUUCGUAGCCAAAACAAUCUAUAGAAUUUUCAGCAAGAAAUUAAUAAUUUUCCAAUUUUUACCCGUUUUCCAGAUACCCGUUAUAAAGAUACUAAUUAUAAUCAAAUUCGUCUUCUUCGUUAACUUCGAUAAUAAUAACAACAACGAUUUACAAAGUCGAUGAUAAUAAAUGCGAUAUAAGAAGAAGAAGAAGAAGAAAAGUAUUUAAAGCUUUCUGAAUAAGACUCUUAUUUACUUCGUUACACGUGUAACUGCGUGACUGUAGCAGUCAGUAGAGGCAUUUCUUUAACCAAGCACGAACAAGUUUAUGGAUUAGAAAAGCGAGCGUAGAACGGACAGCCGGCUACACACGUCCAGCUCGAAGAUCACUAUAAUUUAUUUCGAAUUUCUCGUAGCCGAACGCGCGCCCGCGCGCUCGUCCGCCCGCGCGCACUCGCGAAAAACUUCCAGUUGUAUUCCGACAGGAGAGCGCUCUGAUGCGCGUGUGCACGCACGAGUAUGAGUUUCGAGUUAUCCAAUCGUUUUACUUCUGUAAGAAUCCGCUCUACACACCAGCGACUCGCUAAUAAUUUCUACCUCUACACACUUUCACUUCACGCCGACUACUCCUUAACCAGAGUAGAGUGACUUAGCCUCGUAACGCGCUGAUAAAUUCAUCCGGGCGAACAUACGAGAUAUCUUUUUUUUUUUUUUUUCAUUUUCUGUCUUUUUGCCGAAGCGACCGUCGCGCGGUAAAAACCAAUCGAUUUCGAGAAGUUGGUAGAUCGUGAACCUCCCAAGAGCGAACAGCCUUUUAACGACCCUGUGAAGGCGGAGAAUUUCUUAACAAAGACACUUGGAAGACUUUUUUUAAUGGAGGAGGUAAGUAAAAUGGAAGGAGAUAUAGCUUAUAGCGGAUGGUGACAGCAAAGAAGUAUCGUCGUAUCACAAGUGCAUCGACGUAUCACAAAUGUAACGCAAAAAAUGUCAAAUAAUUACUAACUUAGAAAUUAGCAAUAUAUGUUACAACUAAAGAAAUAAACAUUCGAGCAAAUGUCGAUUGCAUACGUAUUUUAUUAUCUAUUAAUAAUAAGUGAGUUCAGUAAUAAAUUACUCGAUCAUCUUCGUGUCUAGUAAUCACUAUCAUCGCAAAAUUGUCAGCAUACCGAUAAAAGCAAUCUUGCAAUAAUAAAAUAUGAGAAAAGAAAAGAAAAAUUUUAUCGAUUUCAUGACCUAUAGCGAUGUCAUCGACGAUAUUAAGGUAUUUGUAGCGCGACAAUACACCUCAAAACUAACAUACGCGGAGCCUCGAAAGUCAUAUUCUUCACGCAUGUCCCAGAUUCUCUCUCUAGGAAGAAAUUUCUUGGCUGUCUGUACUUUCUACACGCACGCUAACAAACAAUUCAGAAAUGGCCAGAACGGCACUUUGCACGCCGAAAUUACAUAUUUCGCGUUACUUUUAUUGCAAAACGACGAGGUCGGGGUUGAAUUGUUUUUCUACAAAAAGAUUCUUCUAGCCAUUUCACGCAACAUAUUAGCUUUCUAGCAACUUUGUAAGAACGGUUUUCCCGCAAUUAAUCAAAAAGUAAUUUUUUCACCCAUUUACUACAGGGAUUACGCGAUAAAACUUUCAACUUUGAAGGCGAAUAUCUCCAUUUCGGUAAGACCAGGCUCUUUAAAAAUUGAUUUUUUUAUAUAUAAUAUACUAAAUAACGUAUCGUCAAAAUUUCAAUGAAAUUGUAAGAAAACUAAUCCACGCUACAAAUACCUUAAGCAAGAGAUAACACGGAUGUUCGCCCCGUGCUAACAAUUCCGAGAAGUGGUAGGGAUAACGCUGCGACAGUUAACCGAGCAAAGAUACAGUAGCUAAGUGCAUUACUGUAGAUAAUUGUAAAUUAUACAAAAGUUGGUAUUCCAUUUUAGUUCAUUCAUCUUUGUAAUACUAAUUCACGAUUCGCGUUACGUUAGCAUUUUUUCAAAUUUCAUGCGUGCGUAACACACACGUCAUUAAAUUCGAAAUGGAAACGUUAACUCUUCCAUUUGAAUAAAAAUAAUUCUAAAAAAUAUUUCGUUAAAAAUAUUUUAAUGAUACUUUAAGUGGACAUCUCGAUAUAUAUAUAUCUUAUACAUAUCUUCAAGACGUUAAAUUAGAGCUCGAACGUUGCAAGAGCAUAGAUUUAGAAUAAACACAUAAUAUGCUAAUAGAUAAAGAACAAUAUGAUUCAGAAGCACGCUGGGAAAACCGACUUGAUUUCCAUAAUCGACUUCCGUAACGAGUCACUGCAGAAAAAAUUUCCGUUCUUAUAGGGUGCGUAUUAUACUUCGUAGAAUCGAUCAAUCGGAUUAGUUAUUAUCCGAAUUUACUCGUCGCUGGAAAUUUAAGAAUUCGACCAAGAUUUAAACAAUCUGAUCUCAAAUACUUGAAUUACACCGAGUAAUUUAAACUCAAGAGAAAUGAUCGCGGAUACGUUAUACGGAAGAGGGAUGCAUGAUUUUGAUACUUUAGUUUUGACGCGAGUUUUGUCAAAUAGUAAAUUAAAUGACAAUAAUUAUUUUUUAACCACCCAAUCGAUUAAUUGUCGAUGGAUCACAAAAUGCAAAAACACGUCAAAAUAUCUAAAGAUAUUUUUCUCGUAAAGAAUACUCUCGGUAUGUUCGUUGUAAUAACCAAAUUGAUCGACUAGGUCUGCCGGUGGCGCGCGACGAAGAACAUGGCGUCAGCCCGCUCGAAUCACAGAUCCGCACUCCACGAUGCAUUCUGAGUCUGAGCGUAGUCGCGACCCAGCCGCGGGUUAUAUAGUCUAGCGAGCUUCGAUCACACUUGUUGAGGGGAAGCCCUCGUACGCCGCACCACCAACUCCUCCUCCUCCUCCUCCUCCUCAUAUAAUAUUCUCUCUCCCUCUUUCUUAUUCCCUACUCGCACCAUCUCAUCCUCGCUCCCUUGCCCCCUCCCCUCCCCCGCCCUUCUGCGCGCACCUUCUUCCCACUUUCGGUUCAUGAUCUAUCUCCCACCCCGAAUUAUACCUCUCUGCAAGUGACCCUGACCUUGCAUCAACUUCCGUAUUGUCCGUACGUUUGGAUUUCCGGAACAGUUGUCCAAUUAUCGAAAAAAAUUCUAGGGUAAAUUAUAGUAUCCGAGUUACAAAAUUUUUUGUUCGAAUGUGUAUUUUCGAGGAUAUUUUAAGUCGCUAAAGCCGAAAACGAUCGUUUUCCACGGAACUGGACGAUUUUGAAAACUUUCCCGACAAAGGUCUUAACACUCAUAACCGCAGAAAUCCACGUAAUGCCAUGAUCAUACAGAGCGGUAAGCGGUGAACGGUAAGCGGUAAGCGGCAAAACACGUGACGGCACAGUCAAUGCCAAUUUUAUCGCUUACCGUUCUCUUUAUGAUAACAGCCUAACCGGCCGCCUCGUGCCACCGCGUGCGGUCGGAAAAUAAAAAGUAACCGAAAGCCGAAAAGUAAGCCAUUGCUCACGAUUCAAAACCGUACAGAGUAAGCGGUACGUACAGUAGGUUAAGAGUACUAAAUUUAAAGAGAGGCAUUGUCAAAAUCCACGAGGACAUCGCGUAUCAACAGGUUGGCCGAAAUUUUGUACGCCUUAUUUCCGCGAAGAACGACGCUUAAUUUUGGGCUUCAACGACCUCAACAACUCAACUCAACUUUUAAGGAUCCAAGAGGUGCUAUUCUAGCCGAGUAUUUUACAGUCGGGAUUCUAUGGUAGAAUCAAAUUCAAUCUAUCUCGUUCUUGUCUUUUUCGUUUUCUCUGAUUCGUCGAUUACGAACGAUUUGACAAGUCGUUGCACAGUCGAUGCACUGUGACUAUCAUGAUUUGCGAUACAUCGAGCAUGGAGAAACGAUUGAUCGAAAGUUGCUGAAAUAGUGGCUUGGAUUAAAAUUUAUAGCAGUAUUCGACCGCUAACGCUUGAUUCGUUGCCUCAAAAUGGAAAAGGCGCCUUUGCAGCAACGUCCACAGUCCGAACAAACGAAUUUCAGAGUUUUCCGCUUGGAUGCAUCGCGCUUCCUUUUCGAGCGCGAAGCGUCGUGUCGUUGUGGUCGACGUUCGACCAACGUGAAGCGGCAUCUCGAAUCGCGUGAAAAUCCGAGACGGAGAUGGAGAAAUUGUAAAUUUCAUAAAUACAUAAAUACACAAGAAAAAAGAAAUAAAAAAGCUUUUUAGAAAUUGGACAAAUAA